RNAcentral lists this small RNA (838 nucleotides) under Pan troglodytes (chimpanzee). RNAcentral describes it as "processed transcript". The record is from RNAcentral. Lineage: Eukaryota; Metazoa; Chordata; Mammalia; Primates; Hominidae.
GGGGGUCCGGAAGUCAACACCAUGUCAAGUCUGCACAAGAGCCGAAUUGCAGAUUUCCAGGAUGUCCUGAAGGAGCCCUCAAUUGCAUUGGAAAAGCUGCGGGAACUCAGCUUUAGUGGGGAACUGACCUGAAUUAGGAUGAGAUGGUGGUGGUAAAGGCUGCUCCUGAGGAAGGAAUAUCAAGGAUGAGAAGGCAUCCCCUGUGAGGGCGGACUGCGGUGCCUCUGCUGGAAGAUUCUCUUGAACUACCUUCCCUUGGAGAGAGCCUCAUGGACCUCCAUCCUGGCCAAGCAGAGGGAGCUGUAUGCCCAGUUCCUGAGGGAAAUGAUCAUCCAGCCUGGCAUUGCCAAGGCCAACAUGGGUGUGUCCAGGGAGGAUGUGACUUUUGAGGACCAUCCACUCAACCCCAACCCUGACAGCCGGUGGAACACGUACUUCAAGGACAACGAGGUGCUGCUGCAGAUCGACAAAGAUGUCCGGAGGUUGUGCCCAGACAUUUCCUUCUUCCAGAGGGCCACUGACUACCCUUGCCUCCUCAUCCUGGACCCCCAGAAUGAGUUUGAAACCCUUCGUAAGAGAGUGGAACAGACAACACUGAAAUCUCAGACGGUGGCCCGGAACCGGAGUGGGGUCACAAAUAUGAGCUCCCCACACAAGAACUCUGCGCCAUCAUCCCUAAAUGAGUAUGAGGUGCUGCCCAAUGGCUGUGAGGCCCACUGGGAGGUGGUGGAGCGGAUCCUGUUCAUCUACGCCAAGCUCAACCCUGGCAUCGCUUAUGUGCAAGGCAUGAAUGAAAUCGUGGGGCCCCUCUACUACACCUUUGCCACCGACCCCAAUA